This 254-nucleotide ribosomal RNA is filed under the name uncultured bacterium. Its description in RNAcentral is "partial 16S ribosomal RNA". It matches the Rfam family "Bacterial small subunit ribosomal RNA", at positions 524 to 776 of the family's 1533-position model. The record is from RNAcentral.
UACGGAGGGUGCGAGCGUUGUCCGGAAUCACUGGGCGUAAAGGGCGCGUAGGUGGCCUGUGGAAGUCUGCGGUGAAAGCCCGGCGCUCAACGCCGGGUCGGCCGUGGAUACCCUCGGGCUUGAGCUUACUAGAGGCAGAUGGAAUUCCGGGUGUAGCGGUGGAAUGCGUAGAGAUCCGGAAGAACACCGGUGGCGAAGGCGGCUUACUGGUCCGGUACUGACGCUGAGGUGCGAAAGCGUGGGGAGCAAACAGG